ACAACCGCUGGCGGCGCGCUUAACACAUGCAAGUCGCACGAGAAAGUGGAGCAAUCCUGAGUACAGUGGCGUACGGGUGAGUAACACGUGGAUCAUCUACCUCUUGGUGGGGAAUACCCCCGGGAAACUGGGGACAAUACCGCAUAAGCCUGCGAAGGGAAAGCAGCAAUGCGCCGGGAGAGGAGUCCGCGGUCGAUUAGCUAGUUGGUGAGGCAACGGCCCACCAAGGCGAAGAUCGAUAGCCGGCCUGAGAGGGCUCACGGCCACACUGGCACUGAAACACGGGCCAGACUCCUACGGGAGGCAGCAGUGGGGAAUCUUGCACAAUGGAGGAAACUCUGAUGCAGCGACGCCGCGUGAGCGAUGAAGCCCCUCGGGGUGUAAAGCUCUUUCGACGGGGACGAUAAUGACGGUACCCGAAGAAGAAGCUGCGGCUAACUACGUGCCAGCAGCCGCGGUAAUACGUAGGCAGCAAGCGUUGUUCGGAAUUACUGGGCGUAAAGAGUGUGUAGGCGGUGUUCUAAGUCUGUCGUGAAAUCUCCCGGCUCAACUGGAGGGUGCGGCGGAAACUGGAAUGCUUGAGGGUGGGAGAGGUAAGCGGAAUUCCUGGUGUAGCGGUGAAAUGCGUAGAUAUCAGGAGGAACACCUGUGGUGUAGACAGCUUACUGGACCACUUCUGACGCUGAGACA
This 690-nucleotide ribosomal RNA is filed under the name uncultured yard-trimming-compost bacterium. Its description in RNAcentral is "bacterial SSU rRNA". It matches the Rfam family "Bacterial small subunit ribosomal RNA", at positions 29 to 753 of the family's 1533-position model. The record is from RNAcentral.